UGAAGCGGCAACAGCUCAAAUUUGAAAGCUGGCCCCCCCGGGGGUCCGCGUUGUAAUUUGUAGAGGAUGAUUCGGCGAGGGCUCCCGCCUAAGUCCCCUGGAACGGGGCGUCAUAGAGGGUGAGAAUCCCGUAUGCGGUGGGCUGCCUUAGCCACGUGAAUCUCCUUCGACGAGUCGAGUUGUUUGGGAAUGCAGCUCUAAAUGGGAGGUAAAUUUCUUCUAAAGCUAAAUACCGGCCAGAGACCGAUAGCGCACAAGUAGAGUGAUCGAAAGAUGAAAAGCACUUUGGAAAGAGAGUUAAAAAGUACGUGAAAUUGUUGAAAGGGAAGCGCUUGCAGCCAGACUUGUCCGCAGUUGCUCAGCCGGUCUCCUGACCGGCGCACUCUUCUGCGGCCAGGCCAGCAUCAGUUCGGGCGGUCGGAUAAAGGCCCCGGGAACGUAGCUCCUCUCGGGGAGUGUUAUAGCCCGGGGUGGAAUGCGGCCAGCCCGGACUGAGGAUCUCGCUUCGGCUAGGAUGCUGGCGUAAUGGCUGUAAGCGGCCCGUCUUGAAACACGGACCAAGGAGUCUAACAUCUAUGCGAGUGUUUGGGUGUCAAACCCAUGCGCGUAAUGAAAGUGAACGGAGGUGGGAACCCUCGCGGGUGCACCAUCGACCGAUCCUGAUGUCUUCGGAUGGAUUUGAGUAAGAGC
RNAcentral lists this ribosomal RNA (690 nucleotides) under Neoscytalidium novaehollandiae. RNAcentral's name for it is "partial large subunit ribosomal RNA". It matches the Rfam family "Eukaryotic large subunit ribosomal RNA", at positions 94 to 801 of the family's 3401-position model. Lineage: Eukaryota; Fungi; Ascomycota; Dothideomycetes; Botryosphaeriales; Botryosphaeriaceae. The record is from RNAcentral.